Molecule: ribosomal RNA, 447 nt
Filed under: uncultured bacterium
Lineage: Bacteria
Description: partial 16S ribosomal RNA
Rfam family: Bacterial small subunit ribosomal RNA
Source: RNAcentral
UACGAACGCUGGCGGCAGGCCUAAAACAUGCAAGUCGAACGCCCCGCAAGGGGAGUGGCGCACGGGUGAGUAACGCGUGGGAACGUGCCCCUUAGUACGGGACAACGUCGGGAAACUGACGCUAAUACCGUAUAAUAUCUCCGGAUCAAAGAUUUAACGUUGAUGGAGCGGCCCGCGUCUGAUUAGCUAGUUGGUGAGGUAAAGCCUCACCAAGGAUACGAUCAGGAGCAGGUUUGAGGGGAUGAUCUGCCACACUGGGACUGAGACACGGCCCAGACUCCUACGGGAGGCAGCAGUUAGGAAUAUUGGACAAUGGGGGAAACCCUGAUCCAGCCAUGCCGCGUGUGUGAUGAAGGCCCUAGGGUUGUAAAGCACUUUCGUUGGGGAUGAUAAUGACCGUACCCAAAGAAGAAGCCACGGCUAAAUUCGUGCCAGCAGCCGCCGUAA